This is a long non-coding RNA of Apodemus sylvaticus (European woodmouse), 5375 nucleotides long. RefSeq lists it as uncharacterized. The transcript is spliced from 3 exons. The record is from RefSeq and is a predicted model, not a curated record. NCBI's taxonomy places the organism in Eukaryota, Metazoa, Chordata, Mammalia, Rodentia, Muridae.
GGAUGGGUGAUGUUUGAUGGUUGGUGCUACCGGGUCGAGGAGAGGGCCUAUUGUGAUGGUUUUCUGAGUUCUGGGGCGGAAAGGUCUGGAGUCUUACAGAGAUGAACUGGGGAAAGAGAUAGCUCAACUGUGGGGUUCUCAGCUCUGGUGUGCCCAGGAGGACGAACCUGUAGCUCAGGACGCAGGUGAUUGAAAUGUGGAGUCCUAACUUUGAAGAGCAGAGCCUUUAACCAACCCCUGUAGUUGGAGGCCACUUGGAAGAAUGUGACCUUUGAAGUGAGACUGCAGCCUUGGCCAUGUCCUUUAGCCUUUCAGUUCUCUCUGACGUCAUUUGGUGAGUGCUGGUAGCUGAUAGAAGAUGGAUACAGUGAGUGACUUCCAUCUCUCAAGGUUCGCUAUUCCCCACUCACCCUCUCCAUCCACGCAACUAGUCCUGGUUCGACAGAGCCUGAGGCUACACGUGCAAUGACAGAUAACACACUUGACUAAGGAUAGAAUACUGACGACUCGAACUGGAACUCCAGUGAAGCAGCCACUGAGGCUCUCGCAGCUUGGCUCUAGAGAAGAGGCAGGAGACAUGGAAGAACCACAUAGCCAGAGGGAGGAAUUUGGAUUUGAAGCAAUGCUAAAUUUUCUCCCACACAUUUCAGGACUAUGACAAGGAAAUGAUGAACCAACUCAAGGAGUAGGAGCAAACUCAUGUCUCCUUCUGUUAUUUUAGGAGGAAGCUGAGGCAGGAGAAUUGCUGUAAAUCAAGCUACAUAAUAGUCACAAUGAGGCUUUGUCACAAACAAACAAAGCAACUUGAUAGCAAUAGCGAGCAUCCUUAGAAGGCUGCUCAGUGCUGAUCCAGAAGUCCCUCUGUAAACUAUCCUCGACUCCCCCAUUUCCAUUUCUCUUUCUGAAGGGACACCCCAGAGUGUGGAUGGAAAUAGACUCUUGGAACUGCAUUGAACCCCAGACUUUUUUUUUCUUUUUUUUUUUUUUUUUUUUUUUUGAGAGGGUUUCUCUGUGUAGCCCUGGCUGUCCUGGAACUCACUGUAGACCAGGCUGGACUGGAACUCAGAAAUCCGCCUGCCUCUGCCUCCCAAGUGCUGGGAUUAAAGACAAGCGCCACCACUGCCCGGCUAACCCCAGACCUUUCAAAGCACCCAUAACCGUGGGACAGCAGGGACAAGAAGACUCCAUUGCUUUUUGGGUUUCGCCCAGUUGUCAUCAUACCUCAAUAAAGUUUCUUCUCAGCAUUUAUUUAUUCCUCCACAAUCUGUUCUCUCUUGACAAAGAGAAGACCAGGUUCUGGUAGCAAAGGACUUUGCUGAGGAAUAACCUCCCACCAUGGUGCUGAGUUCUCUUCUGCUGAGAUGAUUUAGACCUUAGAGAUGAGCUUUGGAUUUGUCACCAGAUAAGGACGUUAACCAGCUUGAUGCAGUCACCUCACUAAUGCACAGAGCUGGUUGGUGGCUAGACACAGGGCUGCACACGUGCUGAAGAAGCCGGCUCAGUCUGGUAUGGGGCUCCUGCCCGUGAGUGCUGAGACAUCUCAUCUCAGGCCUUGGGAUGGCUGCAGUGACUUCUGGGGUUGCAGAUGAGUUCUCUAGUUUGAAUGCCAGCCACAAAGGUGACCGUUUGCAGUGAAUUGCUGAUGUCUCACCACGAUAAAAGUGGGGUUUCCCUCCUGUGGCAGGAACCUGGGAUCAGUCAAGACAUCUGUCCAGCUUAGGAAUUCGCAAACCAUGAGUCACUGGAGCUCGGAAAGUAAGCAGACGAAGCCGAGGCAGAGGCUGGAACUGACACCUGUCCGCCAUUGUGGCUGGGUGACUUCAAGAAGGCUCCAUCAUCAUAAGCGCACAGCGCUGUUUCCUUGUGUGUCUCUGGUUCCCGUCUCCGCCCCUCUUCCAGGGCUCUUGCCAUAUUCUGUUUGAUCAUAUUAUUUCACUUUACAAAGCAUCCCUGUGGAUGGUCCCUGAGGGGGCAAAAAUGGCCCCAUUUUCACCUUCAAGUUUAGCGACCUCCAAGGAUUGUGAACUUGGUAGGCCUUGACCUGAGAUAUGCAGGCGCCAGAAUAUGUGUGUAAAGCUGAUUUGAGAAGACAGGAGAACUGGAGGUGUGGGUCAGCUGAUACUGCUUGCCUACAGAUGGAAGAGCCCUGGGUUCCAUCCUCAGCACCGGAUAGACCUGACGUAGUCAGGCAUGGACACUUGUGAUCCCAGGACUCAGGAGGUGGAGGUAGGAUCAGAAGAUUGCAUAGAAACAGUGUGAGCCUGCUCACGGUCUAGGGUGAGCCUGCUCACGGUCUACAGUGACUGAUGCUCCUUUGGGUCUAACUCAGUCAGAACCUCUCAACAGGAUUUGACCUAAGAGAUUCUAAAAAGUACGCCAGAAAAUGGGGGAGCUGUGAUAUGGACUCUGCUCGGCCCAGCAGCUUCCUAGCCUUGUCCAUCAUUCUCGGGUCGGCAGGGAAUAAUGACACAGCAUCCAGCUUUGGAAUCUCGGCUGUGGGCACUUGGACUCUGGCUCCACCCUCCUUAGCUUUGUGGCCCUGGGCGAGCACAGUGACUUUCUGUGCUGUCCUUUUUCUUUAUCACAUGCAGCCAACUGUAAUGCACUUCCCCCCUGGCCCUAUGACUAAGCAGAUGAGUUUGUAAUGGACAGUGUUUCAAACAGACCUGGCAAAUGCCAGGCUCUAAAGACAACUUGGAAUGGGUCUAAGAGGAGCCGCUGAAGAACUUUUCUCCAAAGUCCAACUUCUUUCCUAAGUUGUCUCCCUGGUGAUCAAACGAUUUUUAGCAUACACAGAAGCAUGGACACGUGUGUGUAUGUAACUUUAUAUUCUAUUCAAGUUUUUAAAAACAACAAGGCCAUAUAACCCAGAAUGGCCUCCAAUGUGUGGCCUUCCCACUUCAGCCUUCCCAGAGCUGCCACACCCACCCUCUUUUGCUGUGGAUUAUCUGAAGACCAGUCAGAGGAUUGUGUCAAAUUCCAGGGGAUUAAACCUCAUCAGCUUAAUCACCAUGAGGGCAAUGGGGGAGGGGCUGAGACUGGCUGCAGAGUGGAUGUUGAGUCUGGGUUCGCCUGACAGCCCCCGAAGUGAGUCAGACCAAGGAAUGCAAGCUCGUUGAGUUAUUGUCACACCCUGCGCUGUUUAUGGGUAGUUUAGGUUCAGAAUGCCCUGUGCCUCCUGGCCAGCUUCUCGUUGAUUGAACAGGCUGAUUACCUUGGUGUGGUAGCGCUCAGGCCCAGUGUGUCAGUUGUCAAGCAGAGUGAAGGAUGCACUUCAGGGACCUGGUUCCUUUUGAUGUUAGAAAAAGCUUGGGGGGAAAAUAACCGAUUUGGUUUGUGCUGUUUCCUUGAUCCACAUAUAAAGUCGUCUAUAAGAAGAUUUUGGAGUGGAGACCUGGCUGUGACAUGUUCGGUGGGUAAAGCACCCACUGUGCAAACCUGAGGACCUGGGUUUGAUCCUGUGUCAACUGGAGCAGAAAACUGAUACCACAAGGUUGUCUUCUGACUUCCACAUGGUGCUCCCCUGUCGUGUGUGUGUGUGUGUGUGUGUGUGUGUGUGUGUGUGUGUGUGUGUGUGAGCACACACUAAAAAAUUAAAUUUUAAAAUAGAUACAAUUUCCUGGGGGCUGGAGAGAUGGCUUAGCGGUUAAGAGCACUGACUGUUCUUCCAAAGGUCCUAAGUUCAAAUCCCAGCAACCACAUGGUGGCUAACAACCAUCUGUAAUGAGAUCAGAUGCCCUCUUCUGGGGUGUCUGAAGACAGCUACAGUGUACUUACAUAUAAUAAAUAAAUAAAUCUUUAAAAAAAAUAGAUACAAUUUCCUAAAAAUGCUAAAGAUAAAUUAAAUCUCGAUUAGAUAGUUUUGGAGAAAAAUGUAAUAGUUUUUGUUGAGGUGACUCAAAUUAGAUGAUAAAUAUUGCAGUGAUACUUACACAUAAGUAUCCAGUAUUGAAAACACUUAGCUGGGCAGUGGUGGCUCACUCCUUUAAUCCCAGCACUCUGGGAGGCAGAGGCAGGCAGAUUUCUGAGUUCGAGGCCAGCCUGGUCUACAGAGUAAGUCCCAGGACAGCCAGGGCUACACAGAGAAACCCUGUCUCGAAAAAAAACCAAACCCAAAAACAAACAAACAAACAAACAAACAAAACACUCAUGAAACUCACCCACACACACAUGUAAUGAAACCCAUACACACAUGUACAUACACAUGUAUACUCACACAUGUAUACAUACACAUGCACACACUUGUAUACACAUGUACAUACAUGCACAAAACAUACACAUAUAUGUACACACAUAUGCAUAUACGUGCACAUAUGCACACAUGUAUGCGCAUACACACAUGUAUACACAUAUGCAUGCACGUGCACACACAUACACACAUACCCUUGUCCCAUACUUACUAUCAGAUAAAAAAAGUAUCAGACAGGUGAUGUCUCAGUCACCAAACAUUUCUCUUCUUGACAUCAUCCUUAAUAACAGUAAUAAAAAUCUACUGUUUCCCACUAUUAAUUCUAAAGAAAACAGUAAAAUGUGCAUUAAAUAUGUGCAUUGCAAAUCCUUUCCUACCCAAAUCCAUGUGAUCAAGCUAUAUUAAAGCUACUUAAAAUCCCUUUGGAGACCUAUAUAUUGUUUUUAUCUUAUUUUUAAUUAACCAGACAGUAAACAGUUUUACUGAGCAACUUAUUUUCAGUGCUAGACAGUUGGACUGAGUGAUAAGGCAAAGUCCUGUUCCCACGUGGGAAUAUAGGACAAAGGGGAAGUCCUAGAGACGCCUCCAAAGACCAAGCAGUAAGCAGCGCUGUGCAGUUUGUGCUGAAAAAUCUUUAUUCAUAAAAGGGAACAGUUUCUUCUCAUUUGGAUUUAUGGAGAUUUGAGCUGGUGCUUGAAGGCCCCCAGGGCAGGUUUGGAUGGGCAGUGGGCGGCAUUCCACGCAGUAAAGGCAGCAGCUACAGAGGCCUCUGGGUGGGAGAACUCAAGACAGCUUGUCCAGGGUGGAAUCUGAGUGGGGAAUUGACAGAGCAAUGAGCAGAUGGGCCAGCGCCGCCAGCCAACAUAGAGGCCUGUGAAUACCUUCACCUGAGUUAAUGGCUUUACCUAGCACCCUGCAGGGUACGCAUCCCCCAUCUCCGGCAUCCACCUGCCUCCUUCAUGAUGCUGUCCUUAUUUCUGUAUUCCCUUUGUAACUUACAAAUGCAGUAAGUUGAUUCACUUUUUAAAAAUCUUGUUUCACACACAGGGUCUUUUUAAGUAGUAGAGGCUGGCCUUGAACUUGUGACCCUCCUUCAGUGACCUGAGUGUGGGAUAACAGGCAUGCACCAUCAUUCUUGGCUUUUGGCUUUGGCUUUGUUCUCUCUCUCUCUCUCUCUCUCUCUCUC